GGGGUCACCAAACUAGAGAAAAAUAACUUAUUAAAACAUGUUAAAUUUUUUAUGUUUUAUCGUUCCUUUUGGUAUUCUUUUUUAUUCCUGUUUAAAUCCGGUGGAUCACGCCUCAUCCUGCCGGUAGGGGGCGGUAGAAUCAACCCUCCCCUCACAGUGAACAUGGCGGUUGGAAGUCAUCGUUUUGUUGGUCCGGUGUUGCAUAAUUGUUCUUAACGUGCGUUUAUACUUUUGUAGUUUCAUCACCCGGACAGAAUAAUCCUAAAAACUCAGAUUGUAUCAGGCCGGUCCCGUCGGUCCGGUCCGUCAGUUCCCGGCGGCUUCCGGCGCUCCGCCGCGGUUGGGACUCGAUCCCGGUCGCUCGAGGUCGGGUUCGUCUCCGAUCUGAUGAGGAAACAUCUUCCUGGACAGCUGUGACGUCAUGGAGUCUGCAGAGGGACUGCCGUCGCCGCCGGAGCUCAAAGGCCGGCGGAGAGCAAGGACCCCCAAAUACCUCCACGACUAUGAAAGUGACGACAAGAACAUUCGUAAAAUUGUCCGACAGGAAGCUCAGAGAAGAAGCUCGAGGAGUAAGGAGUCCAACAGUCAGUGGAGAACUGAUGAGGAGGAGGAGGAGGAGGAGGAGGAAGAGGAGAAAAGGAGCCGCAAAUCCAGAGCAAAAAAGCCUAAAAAAGUCGGACGACCCAGAAAGCAUCCCGUGAAGGAGGGAAACGCCAACGGAGGGACCUGCAGGGCUGUGGGGGGGCGGGAUGCAGACGCUGCAGCUGCAGCUGCGCAGCCGGAGAACGGCACGCCAAAGCCCAAGAGGAACUACGCCAGGAAGCAGCAGAGAAGCUCGGAUCCUCCUCCUGACCCGCCUGCAGAGGAGCGUCCUGAAGCCGGGGAGGAGCCGGAACCAGGAGGCCGGCGCAGGAGAGGAGCGGCCAAGGCGGCGCUGAAAUAUCUCACUCUCCUGGCUAAAGAGGUGCUGUCCCAUCCCAACGAGGAUCCCGAAUCCAAGCCCCAUCCCGGGAAUGAAGACUCCAGAUCACAGAGGCAAACUCCUAACAAGAGGAAAGGCAGAGGUUGGAAGAGGAAGCGUGCAGACAGCGACGCUUCGGCGGAUGAAGAUUUCGUGCCGGAUGCUGCAGAAGAAGCGAAUCUGCUGGAAGAAGAAGAAGAAGAAGAAGAAGAAGAAGAAGAAGAAGAAGAAGAAGAAGAAGAAGUGAAGGACUCGGACUCUGACCCGGGGCUUCCAGAGAGGCGUCCAGCCGUGAACCACAGGAGCUGUGUAGGGCUCGCUCUCCUCUUCCUCUGGGUCUCUAGUUCAGUUCGUUUUUUGCUCAAAUCUCGUUUGCUUUUGCUUUGUUUGAAGAUUACACGCUUCAUCAUCAUCAUCAUCAUCAUCCUCGCUUUAAGAUAA
RNAcentral lists this long non-coding RNA (1402 nucleotides) under Oryzias javanicus (javanese ricefish). RNAcentral's name for it is "lncRNA (ENSOJAG00000017872.1)". Lineage: Eukaryota; Metazoa; Chordata; Actinopteri; Beloniformes; Adrianichthyidae. The record is from RNAcentral.